UAGGGAAUCUUCGGCAAUGGGGGGAACCCUGACCGAGCAACGCCGCGUGAGUGAAGAAGGUUUUCGGAUCGUAAAGCUCUGUUGUUAAGGAAGAACGAGUGUGAGAAUGGAAAGUUCAUACUGUGACGGUACUUAACCAGAAAGGGACGGCUAACUACGUGCCAGCAGCCGCGGUAAUACGUAGGUCCCGAGCGUUGUCCGGAUUUAUUGGGCGUAAAGCGAGCGCAGGCGGUUAGAUAAGUCUGAAGUUAAAGGCAGUGGCUCAACCAUUGUAGGCUUUGGAGACUGUUUAACUUGAGUGCAGAAGGGGAGAGUGGAAUUCCAUGUGUAGCGGUGAAAUGCGUAGAUAUAUGGAGGAACACCGGUGGCGAAAGCGGCUCUCUGGUCUGUAACUGACGCUGAGGAUCGAAAGCGUGGGGAGCGAACAGG
This 429-nucleotide ribosomal RNA is filed under the name Bacteroidota bacterium. RNAcentral's name for it is "Bacteroidetes bacterium partial 16S ribosomal RNA". It matches the Rfam family "Bacterial small subunit ribosomal RNA", at positions 355 to 776 of the family's 1533-position model. Lineage: Bacteria; Pseudomonadati; Bacteroidota. The record is from RNAcentral.